This 274-nucleotide ribosomal RNA is filed under the name uncultured bacterium. Its description in RNAcentral is "partial 16S ribosomal RNA". It matches the Rfam family "Bacterial small subunit ribosomal RNA", at positions 523 to 796 of the family's 1533-position model. The record is from RNAcentral.
AUACGGAGGGGGCUAGCGUUGUUCGGAAUUACUGGGCGUAAAGCGCGCGUAGGAGGACCAGUCAGUCAGGGGUGAAAUCCCGGGGCUCAACCCCGGAACUGCCUUUGAUACUGCUGGUCUUGAGUUCGAGAGAGGUGAGUGGAAUUCCGAGUGUAGAGGUGAAAUUCGUAGAUAUUCGGAGGAACACCAGUGGCGAAGGCGGCUCACUGGCUCGAUACUGACGCUGAGGUGCGAAAGCGUGGGGAGCAAACAGAAUUAGAAACCCGAGUAGUCC